RNAcentral lists this ribosomal RNA (450 nucleotides) under uncultured bacterium. RNAcentral's name for it is "partial 16S ribosomal RNA". It matches the Rfam family "Bacterial small subunit ribosomal RNA", at positions 354 to 796 of the family's 1533-position model. The record is from RNAcentral.
GUGGGGAAUUUUGGACAAUGGGCGAAAGCCUGAUCCAGCAAUGCCGCGUGUGUGAAGAAGGCCUUCGGGUUGUAAAGCACUUUUGUCCGGAAAGAAAUCCUUUGGGUUAAUACCUCGGAGGGAUGACGGUACCGGAAGAAUAAGGACCGGCUAACUACGUGCCAGCAGCCGCGGUAAUACGUAGGGUCCGAGCGUUAAUCGGAAUUACUGGGCGUAAAGCGUGCGCAGGCGGUUUUGUAAGACAGAUGUGAAAUCCCCGGGCUUAACCUGGGAAUUGCAUUUGUGACUGCAAGGCUAGAGUGUGUCAGAGGGGGGUAGAAUUCCACGUGUAGCAGUGAAAUGCGUAGAGAUGUGGAGGAAUACCGAUGGCGAAGGCAGCCCCCUGGGAUAACACUGACGCUCAUGCACGAAAGCGUGGGGAGCAAACAGGAUUAGAAACCCUAGUAGUCC